RNAcentral lists this long non-coding RNA (391 nucleotides) under Arachis ipaensis. Its description in RNAcentral is "long non-coding RNA (AIPA_LNC001141)". Lineage: Eukaryota; Viridiplantae; Streptophyta; Magnoliopsida; Fabales; Fabaceae. The record is from RNAcentral.
AAAUCGUUCAAAACUCUUUCAAAGAAACAAUGUUUAAUCUUUCAGAAGUCCAAAAUCUUUCCUUUCUUAUAAGAAAAUCUCAAUCAGAAACCAACCAUGCAAUCAAACAACACAGUCAUUAAUUCAGCACCAAAGUUCAUUCUCAAAUGUAGCACGCCAGGACAAACACAGGCAAGACAGACAAGGAAAGCACAAGUAGGUAGCAGUUACAGCAAAUAGUUCAAGUAGCAGUUAAGAACAGUUUAGCAAUUAGGCAAACCAAAACAAGUUCAAACCCAAGCAAAGCAUACAAAUGCAUAUGAUGCAUGCCUGUCCUAUGGCUGAUGAGGCUCAUUUGUCGGUUAUCCAGCCAACCCGACAAGUCUGAAUUAUCCUUAGACCGUCCCCCGAC